This 364-nucleotide ribosomal RNA is filed under the name Serratia marcescens. RNAcentral describes it as "bacterial SSU rRNA". It matches the Rfam family "Bacterial small subunit ribosomal RNA", at positions 86 to 453 of the family's 1533-position model. The record is from RNAcentral. Lineage: Bacteria; Pseudomonadati; Pseudomonadota; Gammaproteobacteria; Enterobacterales; Yersiniaceae. RNAcentral also lists the same sequence under 1 other name.
GGGUGACGAGCGGCGGACGGGUGAGUAAUGUCUGGGAAACUGCCUGAUGGAGGGGGAUAACUACUGGAAACGGUAGCUAAUACCGCAUAACGUCGCAAGACCAAAGAGGGGGACCUUCGGGCCUCUUGCCAUCAGAUGUGCCCAGAUGGGAUUAGCUAGUAGGUGGGGUAAUGGCUCACCUAGGCGACGAUCCCUAGCUGGUCUGAGAGGAUGACCAGCCACACUGGAACUGAGACACGGUCCAGACUCCUACGGGAGGCAGCAGUGGGGAAUAUUGCACAAUGGGCGCAAGCCUGAUGCAGCCAUGCCGCGUGUGUGAAGAAGGCCUUCGGGUUGUAAAGCACUUUCAGCGAGGAGGAAGGUG